AACGAACGCUGGCGGCAUGCCUAACACAUGCAAGUCGAACGAGACCUUCGGGUCUAGUGGCGCACGGGUGCGUAACGCGUGGGAACCUGCCCUUAGGUUCGGAAUAACUCCCCGAAAGGGGUGCUAAUACCGGAUAAUGUCUUCGGACCAAAGGUUUAUCGCCUUUGGAUGGGCCCGCGUUGGAUUAGCUAGUUGGUAGGGUAAAAGCCUACCAAGGCGACGAUCCAUAGCUGGUCUGAGAGGAUGAUCAGCCACACUGGGACUGAGACACGGCCCAGACUCCUACGGGAGGCAGCAGUGGGGAAUAUUGGACAAUGGGCGAAAGCCUGAUCCAGCAGUGCCGCGUGAGUGAUGAAGGCCUUAGGGUUGUAAAGCUCUUUUACCCGGGAUGAUAAUGACAGUACCGGGAGAAUAAGCUCCGGCUAACUCCGUG
This 433-nucleotide ribosomal RNA is filed under the name uncultured bacterium. RNAcentral describes it as "partial 16S ribosomal RNA". It matches the Rfam family "Bacterial small subunit ribosomal RNA", at positions 29 to 507 of the family's 1533-position model. The record is from RNAcentral.